RNAcentral lists this transfer RNA (72 nucleotides) under Camelus ferus (Wild Bactrian camel). It matches the Rfam family "tRNA". Rfam says of the family: Transfer RNA (tRNA) molecules are approximately 80 nucleotides in length. Their secondary structure includes four short double-helical elements and three loops (D, anti-codon, and T loops). Lineage: Eukaryota; Metazoa; Chordata; Mammalia; Artiodactyla; Camelidae. The record is from Rfam by way of RNAcentral.
GAGGGUAUAGCUCAGUGGUAGAGCAUGUGCUCAGCAUGCACAGGGUCUUGGGUUCAAUCCCCAGUACCUCUU